CGGCUGCUCUGCUUUUGCUCCCUGAUUAGGAGGAGGAGGUGGAUGUGGAGGAGGAGGUUGAGGAGGCGGAGACCGUGGCGGCAACAACGCAUUCGGAUGUCUGCCCUAUCAACUUUCGAUGUUACUAUCUGCACCUACCAUGGUAUCCACGGGUAACGGGGAAUCAGGGUUCGAUUCCGGAGAGGGAGCCUGAGAAACGGCUACCACAUCCAAGGAAGGCAGCAGGCAUGCAAAUUACCCACUCCCGAUGCGGGGAGGUAGUGA
Non-coding RNA from Pelobates cultripes (western spadefoot toad), 264 nucleotides. NCBI's taxonomy places the organism in Eukaryota, Metazoa, Chordata, Amphibia, Anura, Pelobatidae. The record is from the annotation of a GenBank genome assembly.